AUGUCUAAGUACAUGCCGUAUUAAGGCGAAACCGCGAAUGGCUCAUUAAAUCAGUCAUGGUUCCUUGGAUCGUACCUUACUACUUGGAUAACUGUGGCAAUUCUAGAGCUAAUACAUGCAGCAGAGCUCCGACCUUCGGGGACGAGCGCUUUUAUUAGACCAAAACCAAUCGGACCUCGUGUCCGUCUCUUGUGGUGACUCUGUAUAACUUUGGGCUGAUCGCACGGGCCUGUCCCGGCGACGUAUCUUUCAAGUGUCUGCCUUAUCAACUUUCGAUGGUAGGUUACGCGCCUACCAUGGUCGUAACGGGUAACGGGGAAUCAGGGUUCGAUUCCGGAGAGGGAGCCUGAGAAACGGCUACCACAUCCAAGGAAGGCAGCAGGCGCGCAAAUUACCCACUCCCAGAACGGGGAGGUAGUGACGAAAAAUAACAAUACGGGACUCUUUUGAGACCCCGUAAUUGGAAUGAGUACACUCUAAAUCCUUUAACGAGGAUCCAUUGGAGGGUAAGUCUGGUGCCAGCAACCGCGGUAAUUCCAGCUCCAAUAGCGUAUAUUAAAGUUGUUGCGGUUAAAAAGCUCGUAGUUGGAUCUCAGUUCCAGACGGGUGGUCCGCCUACCGGUGGUUACUGCCUGUUCUGAACAGUCAGCCGGUUUCUCUUGAUGAUCUUCACCGGUUGUCUUGGGUGACCGGCAAGUUUACUUUGAAAAAAUUAGAGUGCUCAAAGCAGGCGUGACGCCUGAAUAAUGGUGCAUGGAAUAAUGGAAUAGGACCUCGGUUCUAUUUUGUUGGUUUUCGGAACACGAGGUAAUGAUUAAGAGGGACAGACGGGGGCAUUCGUAUUGCGACGCU
RNAcentral lists this ribosomal RNA (852 nucleotides) under Hololena sp. 2 AB 883. RNAcentral's name for it is "SSU rRNA". It matches the Rfam family "Eukaryotic small subunit ribosomal RNA", at positions 55 to 906 of the family's 1831-position model. RNAcentral also lists the same sequence under 12 other names. Lineage: Eukaryota; Metazoa; Arthropoda; Arachnida; Araneae; Agelenidae. The record is from RNAcentral.